Molecule: long non-coding RNA, 430 nt
Organism: Liolophura sinensis
Lineage: Eukaryota; Metazoa; Mollusca; Polyplacophora; Chitonida; Chitonidae
Exons: 4
Source: RefSeq, a predicted model, not a curated record
CAACGCCAAACCUUUGCUUUUGAGGUGUUUGUUUUUUUUUUUCCUUUGAGGUUUUACGCUAUUUCUUUGGAUUACCGAAGAAGCCUUUUGGAUAUUUCACCUUUUUCCAAAAGGACGAGACAUGUUCCAACUUUGUCACUGAUGUCUAUAGACAAAGUCCAAGAUUGAUCCAAAAUGGAGGAAGCCUGGCGUGUAUUCGUCAGGAAUUUUGCCAAACCUAAAUGGACUUUACUGGAAAUAAUUCUCGUCUUGUUGUUACAUGGGGCUGUAUUGCAAAGGACGACCGUGUACGGUCAAGAAUCGGCUGCAGCCUCGACAGCAGAAUGCUCCGACCGAAUGGACAUCAUAAUCAUGAUUGGGUCAUCGAACAAUGUGACAGAAGAAAAUUUUGGGAAUUUGAAAAAAUUUAUUCAGAAUUUAUUAAGGACAG